This 561-nucleotide long non-coding RNA is filed under the name Homo sapiens (human). RNAcentral describes it as "HSALNT0015319". The record is from RNAcentral. Lineage: Eukaryota; Metazoa; Chordata; Mammalia; Primates; Hominidae.
CCGUGUGUCUCAAGAUUGUGGCUAAGAGCCAUAGCCCUGGAGGAUGUACAGAAGCAUUGCUGUGGCUUAUGACCCAUGGCCACUGUUGGGUCAGGAAGGACAUUGCUUUAAAGGUCUCCUUGAUCUAGGAACACAGCCAAGGCCAAGAGGCCUGAGGUUCUCAGCAAAAGGGGGAGCCCAUCACCUAUGGAGCUAGGCAGCUGAGUUCAGGAGGAGAAGGAAGGAGGAGGGUAAGAGUGAGGGAAGACAUCAACUCAGGGCGGGUCCUUGGCUGUGGUUCUUUGGUUCCUCAAAGGUCACAGGUCAGCUGCAGUCUCCAGAGCUAUAGCAAGUGGAACAUCUAGAAGACUCGUGCUCACAGCAGUCAGAAUGCUGGGGCUGACGCAGGUAGAAUCGUGGAAACCGGAGUGAAACUAGAGAGCAGUGGCCUCCAAAGCCAGAAAUACAGCAACUGGAAACACGAGCCCGAAAUUCUACAGUUGAAUAUGUGGCUCCAGAAGCCACAUCAUAAUAGCAGAGCAGCCCUGCUUUCCUGACAUAGGAGAGAUUCAGCAGUGAGUA